This 484-nucleotide ribosomal RNA is filed under the name uncultured bacterium. RNAcentral's name for it is "partial 16S ribosomal RNA". It matches the Rfam family "Bacterial small subunit ribosomal RNA", at positions 30 to 507 of the family's 1533-position model. The record is from RNAcentral.
AUUGAACGCUGGCGGCAGGCCUAACACAUGCAAGUCGAGCGGAUGAAGGUAGCUUGCUCCUGGAUUCAGCGGCGGACGGGUGAGUAAUGCCUAGGAAUCUGCCUGGUAGUGGGGGAUAACGUCCGGAAACGGGCGCUAAUACCGCAUACGUCCUGAGGGAGAAAGUGGGGGAUCUUCGGACCUCACGCUCUCAGAUGAGCCUAGAUCGGAUUAGCUAGUUGGUGGGGUAAAGUCCUACCAAGGCGACGAUCCGUAACUGGUCUGAGAGGAUGAUCAGUCACACUGGAACUGAGACACGGUCCAGACUCCUACGGGAGGCAGCAGUGGGGAAUAUUGGACAAUGGGCGAAAGCCUGAUCCAGACAUGCCGCGUGUGUGAAGAAGGUCUUCGGAUUGUAAAGCACUUUAAGUUGGGAGGAAGGGCAGUAAGUUAAUACCUUGCUGUUUUGACGUUACAAACAGAAUAAGCACCGGCUAACUUCGUG